CCUACGGGAGGCAGCAGUGAGGAAUAUUGGUCAAUGGGCUUACGCCUGAACCAGCCAAGUCGCGUGAGGGAAGACUGCCCUAUGGGUUGUAAACCUCUUUUGUCAGGGAGCAACGCCGGCUACGUGUAGCCGGACUGAGAGUACCUGAAGAAAAAGCAUCGGCUAACUCCGUGCCAGCAGCCGCGGUAAUACGGAGGGUGCGAGCGUUAACCGGAAUUAUUGGGGGUAAAGGGCGCGUAGGCGGGAUUUCAAGUCACGGGUGAAAUCCCCGCGCUCAACGUGGGAACUGCCUUUGAAACUGGCAGACUGGAGUGGGUGAGAGGUAAGUGGAAUGCGAGGUGUAGGAGUGAAAUGCGUAGAUAUCGGGAAGAACAUCGGUGGCGAAGGCGGCAAGCUGGCACAUAACUGACGCUGAGGAACGAAAGCGUGGGUAGCGAACAGGAUUAGAUACCCUAGUAGUC
This 461-nucleotide ribosomal RNA is filed under the name uncultured bacterium. RNAcentral describes it as "partial 16S ribosomal RNA". It matches the Rfam family "Bacterial small subunit ribosomal RNA", at positions 338 to 795 of the family's 1533-position model. The record is from RNAcentral.